AAAAGUGCGACAAGGCACAAAAUCCUUCUACUAAAAAUGAUCAAGUGAUGGAGUCAAGGACCCGAGCGAGAAGAAAAGAAGUUACCAGGGGCAAGCUAAAGAAGAGAAGGGAUCUUCUUGUGAAGAAAGAAGAAAGCAGGAGGGUCAAUGUGAAAAUGUCCAGACUAGCCGUGAGGGGAUCAAAAUCCCUAGCACGCCUCCAUUCCCCAUCGGGCCUGGCUACUCAUCUCUCUCCCUCACCCCUCCUUCUCCACCUCCGGCCGCCACCACGGCCAGGCCGGCGUGGUGGUGCGCCUCCGCACCAUCAGCACACCCACCACAAACAUCCACCACUCACCACCAACUUCAUCCACCAGCGCCACCAUCUCCAGCCACCGCCGCACCUCGCGCGCUCGACCAGACAAGGGCGAGCACGGGCGUCUGGUCCGCCGCGUGACCUCUCCCUCUCCGCCGAUCCUCUCUUCCUGAUGCCCCUGCUGCUCCUUCUCUUUGCGCCUCCUUGCUGAUGCCUUCUCUGAACUGCUGCUGCCUCUGCUUCCUGAACCUGCUGCUGCUUGCCCUCAACCCUCUCUGCUGCUUCCCUCUCCCUGGUGCCUUGUGCGACUCCUCUCUCAACUCUCAUUUCUGUUGCUCAUUCUUCUUCUCUCAACCUGCUACUGCUGCUCUCUUCUUGCCCACGCCUCUUGCUGCUGUCUUCUUCUCUGAACCCAAACUGCUGCUGCUUCUUCUCUCUUUACUUCUUGCAAAAUUCUGUAAACUGCUAGGUGAACUUGUGUACUGUUUCGUACUUGUAGCUAUAGUGCACAUUUAAUAUUUGGUCUAUGUGAUUUUGCUUUCCAAGUUAGUAAUCUGCUAGCUUGUGUUUGUGUUCAACCUUGUGAACUUGUUCCAUUUUGUAGUCCUUGUGUUAACUCAAGUACAUGGGAUAUAUAUAAAUAUGUGUUUGUCUGUGAUGUGAUACAUAUAUAUUCUGUCCUACAACUUUGUCUCUUCCCUCUAUUACAUGUUUGAUAGUUAUACGUGCUCUUGUCUAGCAGCUUUUCCUAAUAUUGAUUCUCGUUUGUUGUUAGUGUUUUAGAUUCUCAUGUAUAAUGAAAAUACCAAAAAGAUAUUGAGUAAAAUCUGAAUCUACCUUUGCUUAUUCGCAUUUUCAUUGGCGACAAUCUUGAUAGUUUAUGUUUAUUUUCUCUUCCCAUCAUCUGAAUUGUAUUACCUAGAUUUAGCCGAAUAUAGUUACCGUCACCUAGUCCCUGAGGAGAACACGACACUCGCAGUUUGGGCGAAAAACCCCACUGUACUUACACUCGAUCAUUUUGGCGCCGUUGCCGGGGACUAGCGUCGAACGAUUGUGUGAAGCUAUAGACUAGGCUUAGUAUAGUUUUUUGUUUAAAUUUCUAGUCAAAUUUAUUUCUAUGCUUCUUUUACCUUUUUACUUUUUGUUGCUUCGGCUUAUUAGGAUACUAACUUUCUGACUAGUGUUUACUAUUUAUGAGUGUUCGUAGGAAAUCUGAACUAAUUGCAGGUUGUUCUAUAGUUACACUCGGUUAAGAUGGCAUUGCUUCGUGAUCUUUGGAUGCCUAAAAGUCAAUGCUAUAUCACAGGACCGGUUUGGCCAACUAUUGAGGCAGAGAACUUCGAGCUGAAACCUAGUCUUAUUGCUUUGGUUCAACAACAAUAGUUUGGAGGUCUGCCUACUGAAGACCCUUAUGAGCACUUGCUCCGAGUCAUGGAGUAUUCAGAUACAGUAAAGUAUCAUGGAGUUCCUCAAGAUGUUAUCAAGUGCAUGCUGUUCACAUUCUCUCUCCGAGAUGAUGCUCGUGCUUGGUAUCGAUCCUUGCCAUCAAGAUCAUUCGGUUGGAAUGAGAUAUCACGAGCUUUCUUGGAUAGAUAUUUCCCACUACACAUGCAGUCUGCGAUUCGAGAUGAGAUCUUCAAUUUUGUUCAGCGUGAAUACGAGAGCUUGUAUGAUGCUUGGGAGAGAUACAAGGCUUUAUUCAGGAGAUGUCCUAACCACGGGCUCGAGAGAUGGUUAGAGUUGCAGAUAUUCUAUAGAGGAUUGACUUCGGACACUCGAGCUUACGUCGAUAUGGCAGCGGGUGGAGCUAUUACAAACAAGACACUUGAUGAAGCUUUUCUGUUGAUUGAGAGCAUAGCUUUCCACCAACUUCAGUGGUACAAUAAGAAGCCCAGGUCUUAUUCAUUGGUUUGCUUGCAACAAAUCACUACACCUCAGCCACAAAUUCUUACACAGAAGUCGGAACCAGUUUCUUCGUGUAACAAGAUUGAGCUUUCAUGGAUUAUCUUUGAUGAUGAUGACACCAUCGUAGUUGACACACACACUUAAGAUCAUAUGGAUACUAGUGUUGGAGAUUUAGUUUUGCAUUGUGAUGAUUCUUCCAUGGAUGAGCCAGAGCUGCAGUUAGUUGUUUUUUAUAUUGAGGAGUCACCUUUAGUUGAUAUUGAUCAUGUGCUGCUAGAGCCAGAUAUGGAGAAGUUCACCUUCAAUGAUGUUAGCCGCAUUGAUUCCUCGACACUUGAGCCUGAGAUGGAGAGCUUCAUCGUUAAUUAUGAUGAGGUGGAUUCAGAUGUCAAGGAGCCAAGCUCUACUAUUUCACUUGUUGACAUGAGUCCAGUGGAAAUUUCUACUACCACACCUCACUUGGUAUCUUCAAUUGAGGUAGUCAUGAAGCUUCUUCCCAAGUAUCUCAGGUAUGAUAUCAGCUUUCUCGACAAGAUAUGCCAUAUCAUGGAUACUGCCUAUGCACCAAGCGAUUUAUUGAUGAUAUCUAUUUAUCAUAUGCUCAAUAGAUAUGCUUAUGUGAUAGGAUACUCUAUUGAUGACUUAGAGGGCAUUAUCCCUAUCAUUUGUAUUGGCUUGUUUGUUGAGUGUUCUUUCAGGUUUACGCUUGUGCACCAUUCAUUGUGGGCUGACCAAGUUCGAGAUGACAUCCCAUGGGAUCCUGGUGGAUUCACGGCAUGGUGAUGAGGAGAACCAAUGUGCACACGCGAAGAAGAAUGAAGCUGGAGCAGGCAUGGGGAUAGAGAAGCAAAAAGAGAAGAGCUGCAGUUUAGAGAGUGUUGAGCGAGUGCUACUUCCUAUAUAAACCCGGUGAGUUGUUUCAUGUCCCCAAUCUGAAUAUAUCAUCCAUUGAUACAUGCUAAAAUCAAUUGCUAUUUGGGUUGCUUGAGCCAUUUCUUAAACGUUGUCCCACUGAAUUUUACCUUUGACAUAUGGUGCUUGAUGUGAAUAUGUAAACUGAUUUGUGGAUGCCUUGUAAACUAGUGAUCUACAUACUGCUUGCUUUGCUGAAAUUAGUGAAAGUUAUUAGUUGUGAGUGCUCAAAUCCCUAGUACACUAGAAAACUUCAUCAUUUUCUGCAUUUACUUGGAUACACCUAGAUCAUCAAUUGUUAGAUGCUGAUUUUGUGCCAAGUGUGUUCCCCUUCAGAGCAAUCAUUCACCACUAUGGACUAGCAUACUAUGUUCCCUGGAUCGGUAGUAUGUGAACCAUGCCUGGAUGAGUGAUGAUUCUUGUUUCCUUUUUGUAUUCAUUUGUUAAAAAGGUAAUAAUGAAUAAAUAAUUCUGACUACCUACAUUAGCAUGUCAUGUUCCCUGGAUCGGUGGCAUGUGAAAUCGGGUUAGCUUGGGCAGUAAUUAAUAAUAAAAAUGUAAUUGUCGAACCAGGUGUCUACCAUGUUCACGGGAUCGGUGGUAUGUUCCUUUGGGGAGACAAACAAAAAAACUAAUAAUUGGUCGAGCCAGGUGUAUACCAUGUUCUCGGGAUCGGUGGUAUGUUCUUUUGGUGAGAUCGAUAAAAUAUUAUCAUUACUUCCUUCAAAUUCAAUAAGUGCUUCAACCAUAAUGUUAUGUUCCGGGUAAUAAGUUUUUUUUUGGGAUCAUGCUCUCUUUAGGAACCCUUUCGCACAAUCAGCAUUUGAACUUGUUGAUCCACUUUUAUCUUUGUAAAAGUUUAAAAUGAUUGAGUUUACUAGUGUCCUAUUGACAUGUAGCACUGUUAACCAUUAAUUUUCACUAGCCAAGUCCAAAGCAUACACUGUUUAGAGAUCUACUUCACUUGACAUUCUCUAGUCAGUUCACUGUUCAUGUUCUUGCUCUUGUCAUAUGCCCUUGCUUGAGGACAAGCAAAGAUUUAAGUGUGGGGGAACUUGAUAAGCACAUUUCUUAUACAUAAUUUUGGCAUACAAAUAUACCAUUUGUUGAGUUCUGACCACCAAUUCUUGUUUUAAAUAUAGAAUAAUUGAAUGAAAAUCAUAUAAAAGGAUUGUUGACUAGUCACUUGUUUAUUUUGCAGAAAAGUGCGACAAGGCACAAAAUCCUUCUACUACAAAUGAUCAAGUGAUGGAGUCAAGGACCCGAGCGAGAAGAAAAGAAGUUACCAGGGGCAAGCUAAAGAAGAGAAGGGAUCUUCUUGUGAAGAAAGAAGAAAGCAGGAGGGUCAAUGUGAAAAUGUCCAGAUCAGGCGUGAGGGGAUCAAAAUCCCUAGCACGCCUCCAUUCCCCAUCGGGCCUGGCUACUCAUCUCUCUCCCUCACCCCUCCUUCUCCACCUCCGGCCGCCACCACGGCCAGGCCGGCGUGGUGGUGCGCCUCCUCACCAUCAGCACACCCACCACAAACAUCCACCUCUCACCACCAACUUCAUCCACCAGCGCCACCAUCUCCAGCCACCACCGCACAUCGCGCGCCCGACCAGACAAGGGCAAGCACGGGCAUCUGGUCCUCCACGUGACCUCUCCCUCUCCGUCGAUCCUCUCUUCCUAAUGCCCCUGCUGCUCCUUCUCUUUUGCGCCUCCUUGCUGAUGCCUUCUCUUAACUGCUGCUGCCUCUGCUUCCUGAACAUGCUGCUGCUCGCCCUCAACCCUCUCUGCUGCUUCUCUCUCCCUAGUGCCUUGUGCGACUCCUCUCUCAACUCUCAUUUCUGCUGCUCAUUCUCCUUCUCUCAACCUGCUACUGCUGCUCUCUUCUUGCCCACGCCUCUUGCUGCUGUCUUCUUCUCUGAACCCGAACUGCUGCUGCUUCUCUUCUCUCUUUACUUCUUGCAAAAUUCUAUAAACUGCUAGGUGAACUUGUGUACUGUUUCGUACUUGUAGCUAUAGUGCACAUUUAAUAUUUGGUCUAUGUGAUUUUGCUUUCCAAGUUAGUAAUCUGCUAGCUUCUGUUUGUGUUCAACCUUGUGAACUUGUUCCAUUUUGUAGUCCUUGUGUUAGCUCAAGUACAUGGGAAUAUAUAUAAAUAUGUGUUUGUCUGUGAUGUGAUACAUAUAUAUUCUGUCCUACAACCUUGUCUCUUCCCUCUAUUACAUGUUUGAUAGUUAUACGUGCUCUUGUCUAGCAGCUUUCCCUAAUAUUGAUUCUCGCUUGUUGUUAGUGUUUUAGAUUCUCAUGUGUAAUGAAAAUACCAAAAAGAUUUUGAGUAAAAUCUGAAUCUACCUUUGCUUAUUCGCAUUUUCAUUGGCUACAAUCUUGAUAGUUUAGGUUUAUUUUCUCUUCCCAUCAUAUGAAUUUUAUUACCUAGCUUUAGCCGAAUAUAGUUGCCGUCGCCUAGUCCCUGAGCAGAACACGACCCUCGCAGUUUGGGUGAAAAACCGCACUGUACUUACACUCAAUCAUUAUUUUAGUACGAACUCUUGAAUAGAUCGAACGGAAAGAAUAGCUUUGAGGUGGUUUCGUACCCUACAAACAAUUUAUUCUUAUGUUCUCCGCUAGAUAGGAACUUUGGAGUGAUUCUUCAUCACACUUUGAGGGGUGGUUAUAUGAUCCAAUUAUAUUAGCAUUGUUGAGAGAUUGCAUUAGCGAAAGUACGGACCCUAAGCCUCAUUUUCAAGCAUUGCAAUACCAUUUUUGUGCCCGUUUACUAUUUGCUACCUUGCUGUUUUUAUUUAUUCAGAUUAUGAAAAUAUAUUUCUACCAUCAAUAUUACACUUUUAUCACCAUCUCUUCGCCGAAAUAGUGCACCUAUACAAUUUUCCAUUGUAUUGGUUGUAUUG
Molecule: long non-coding RNA, 6006 nt
Filed under: Triticum aestivum (bread wheat)
Lineage: Eukaryota; Viridiplantae; Streptophyta; Magnoliopsida; Poales; Poaceae
Description: long non-coding RNA (TAES_LNC008630)
Source: RNAcentral